This 464-nucleotide ribosomal RNA is filed under the name uncultured bacterium. Its description in RNAcentral is "bacterial SSU rRNA". It matches the Rfam family "Bacterial small subunit ribosomal RNA", at positions 28 to 479 of the family's 1533-position model. The record is from RNAcentral.
GACUAACGCUGGCGGCGUGCCUAACACAUGCAAGUCGAACGAGUUGUUUAAUAGUAGCAAUACCUUUAUUCAGCAAGUGGCGAACGGGUGAGUAACACGUAGAUAAUCUGCCUUUCAGACGGGGACAACCCAGGGAAACUUGGGCUAAUACCCGAUGAGACCACGUCCGGGGACGGAUGCGGCCAAAAGUGGGCUUCGGCUCAUGCUGAAAGAUGAGUCUGCGUCCUAUCAGGUAGUUGGUGGGGUAAAUGCCUACCAAGCCUAAGACGGGUAGCCGGCCUGAGAGGGUGAACGGCCACACUGGGACUGAGACACGGCCCAGACUCCUACGGGAGGCAGCAGUGAGGAAUUUUCCGCAAUGGGCGCAAGCCUGACGGAGCGACGCCGCGUGAGGGAUGACUGCCUUCGGGUUGUAAACCUCUUUUAUUAAGGAAAAAGGUUAGCGUGCUAAUACCACGUUAACU